GUCUGAAAAGCGCAAAAGAAGAAGAAAAGCCAUGAAGAUAGAGAAGAUAACAGAUCCUGUCCAAAUUCGCCAUUUUUAUACGCAUAAUAUUGAAUUAAAAGUAGAGAGGACUUUUAUAAUACUUAGUAAUUUUGGUAAAUUCAAGAUGGUGACGUCCUAGUCCGAGUUAGACAACACAACAACAGGACAACAACCGAUGGAAAUGAAAUGUGGGUCACAAAAGGAGCCUAAAGAGACGAAGGCUGCUAGCGUGUUACCAUCUGGUGUCUAAGCAAAUUAAGAUGAAAGAGGAAGCCAGUGAACAAGAAUUAGAAAACCUAAAGACUUUCCUGUCUCAGAAGAGGCUCUGGCUCCACCAGAUCACCAACCAGUUCUGAGGAUGAACCUCCACAUCGUCUUCAUGGUGGAAGGCUCUUUGUUUUUUUACACUGAGCAGCUGGCCACAUUUUUAACAGCAAAAACUGGGCCCUGUGAUGGACUGGUGACCUGUCCAGGGUGAACCCCGCCUCUCAUCUGAUGACUGCUAGAGAUGGGCACCACCAGCCCCCCUCACCACCAUGCAAGGAUCAGAGUGUUCAGAUCAUGGAUGGAAAGAUUUUAAGGCAAAGAAGUCACCCAGAAAUGUUUUUCCACACCAGGCAUCCGGUCCCAAUCAUUGCCAGUUCUGAUGAUGCCACAUACAUAGUGAGUCCACAACGUCUAAAAAUUGUUUCUGUAAAGUGCAGUGGUCCAGUGAAUGGGAAUGUUCUGCUGAUCCUCACUGUUCUUAGGAAGGA
Long non-coding RNA from Xiphophorus hellerii (green swordtail), 776 nucleotides. RefSeq lists it as uncharacterized. NCBI's taxonomy places the organism in Eukaryota, Metazoa, Chordata, Actinopteri, Cyprinodontiformes, Poeciliidae. The transcript is spliced from 5 exons. The record is from RefSeq and is a predicted model, not a curated record.